UGAAGCCUGCCACGCUCACCUCUCAGCCCUCCACCUCCAGCCCAGCUCCUGCUCUGCGCGGAGCUGCUUUGGAGAACUUGCUGCUGGCGCCCAACAGCUGGGUAAAUUCUGCUUACAGUGGUUCCCAAAGAGGCCUGGAGGACAUCUGGGUCUUCCAUGGUGGUGGGGGUUUUGGCCUCAACAACAAGGCUCUGGUGGUAGAAAUGAUAGCAACCCAGUGAAAAGAGACGGACAAAAGAGUCAAAGGAGUCAGUGCAAAAGCACUGUCCAGGAAAGCGAAUCAACCCAGAUUGUCCCCUUGGGAAAUAUGGCAUGUGCUUGGGGUGACAGCUGAUUCUCCUCUUAAUCACUGUCAUGAAAACAAAAUAACCAUAAGAGCAAAGGCAGAUUAGACAAGGGAAAUUAAGGAACCCAAAUACUGACAGGAUGCAUUUUUGAAGAUAUAGCCGACUCCUGGGUCCUCGUGACAGCCUUCCCACACCAAUUCUCAGACCACCUUCUACCUGAACCUGCACGGUGGCAAAAUGGCCUCCACAAGAAGCAACCCAAUGGGGCUCUGUUCUCUCCUUGCCAAGACCAGGAAUAUAACGCAGUUGUGAUGGCCACAGGACUAGGAAAGACCAUGGAUAUAGGCAGCAAAGUCUAAGGAGAUUUUCUUAGACGGAAGUCUGAAACUAGCAUGGAGAAGAAAUGGUUAAGGAGAGAGAGAGAAAGAGAGCGAGCAAGAGAGAGCAGAGAUGGGACCUCCAAAGGCAGGAUGUAGCAAGGUUACCAGCAGCAGCCCUGUAAGCAACUCUGUUGUGAGGAAGCCCAGGUCACCUGGAAAAGUCCAUGUGGACAGGAACCCAGGAAACUCAGCUGACAGCCAGCACCAGCUGGCCCACUUGUAUGCAUGGACCCUCUUGGAAGUAGAUCCUUCAGCCUUCAGUAGAACCCCUCCAACUCAUUCGAUGUGGUACAAAGAUGAACCUUCCCUGCCGAGCCCUGCCCGAAUUGCAGCAAGUGCCUGUGCUUCAACCACCACUUAAUUUGUUAAUUCUGACUCUUAAUCCUGAGACUGUAGGUAGAGAAGAUAACAUACUCCUAUUUCACAGGUGAGAAUACACAAGCACAGAAAGUAUUUGUAAUUUGUUCAAGGUCACAGAACAAGCAAGUGGCAGAACUGGGUCACAAUCAGUUCCUCUGACUCCCUGGCUUGAGGUUUUACUCUAUUGUCAGAUUCUCUAUGUCUCCUGCAGGCCAUGUAUCCUUACCAAAUGUAGGGAUCACUGGUUUGGCCUUUGUGAGAGCAGGUGCUUAGAAAUCCUGUUGAACUUUCUUCCUUCGCUACCUACCCUGUACCAGAAACCCGCUGCACAACAUUGAUAAAACCAGUUCUGUUCUAGGCCCCCACUUGCUGCUGCCUGGAGAGGUGACCCCCAGGGCAUCCCCCCUUCAUGCCUUGACUGAAUAAAACUCCCUGCUGAAGUCUUCACAUGGCACACCGCAUGAACAUGUGGAACCCACUGGUUGCCAAGCCAAAUGUGGCUCCAGAUUAUUCUAGGAAACAAAUAAAUUGUUUUGCUCUGGAUUGAAGGAAUUGCUAAUUAGGGAUUUUUAUUUUGAGCAGUGUUCCUUGGAGCUGGCAGACAGAUGGAGUAGGCGAAUUGCUCCAGGGGCAUUGUUAAGCAGAGGGAACUGUUUCUGCCCCUGGUUAUGAGAACCUGCCAGAGCUCAUUGCUGCCCAGCUCUUGCCCUCAAGGACAAGGGAGGCUUCCUGGCUCACAGUGAUUUCCUCUUUUCUGGGACUGGCCCUCAAAGCACAAGCACAAGACCCUAGUGGUGUUGUCAGUUGUAUAUUACCCUGCCUGCUAGCCAUAUAAUUGUCCUAGGGAGAAGAGCAGAGGUCUUUUCUAGGAUUCCCUACCUGGAACUGGGAAUGAAA
Molecule: non-coding RNA, 1924 nt
Organism: Macaca mulatta (Rhesus monkey)
Lineage: Eukaryota; Metazoa; Chordata; Mammalia; Primates; Cercopithecidae
Source: RefSeq, a predicted model, not a curated record